RNAcentral lists this ribosomal RNA (1095 nucleotides) under Hyaloscypha cf. hepaticicola. RNAcentral describes it as "eukaryotic LSU rRNA". The stretch from base 488 to 1095 matches the Rfam family "Eukaryotic large subunit ribosomal RNA", at positions 1 to 623 of the family's 3401-position model. Lineage: Eukaryota; Fungi; Ascomycota; Leotiomycetes; Helotiales; Hyaloscyphaceae. The record is from RNAcentral.
GUGAACCUGCGGAAGGAUCAUUAAAGAAUGCCCCGUUUUUUGAAAUGGGUUCUAUUCCCAAACCGUGUAUACAUACCUUUGUUGCUUUGGCAGGCCGCCUUCGGGCGUCGGCUCACGCUGACCGCGCCUGCCAGAGGACCCAAACUCGUUUGUUUAGUGAUGUCUGAGUACUAUAUAAUAGUUAAAACUUUCAACAACGGAUCUCUUGGUUCUGGCAUCGAUGAAGAACGCAGCGAAAUGCGAUAAGUAAUGUGAAUUGCAGAAUUCAGUGAAUCAUCGAAUCUUUGAACGCACAUUGCGCCCCUUGGUAUUCCGAGGGGCAUGCCUGUUCGAGCGUCAUUAUGACCACUCAAGCCUAGCUUGGUAUUGGGGUUCGCGGUCUCGCGGCCCUUAAAAUCAGUGGCGGUGCCAUCUGGCUCUAAGCGUAGUAAUUUAUCUCGCUAUUGGGUCCGGUGGUUGCUUGCCAACAACCCCCAACUUCUAAGGUUGACCUCGGAUCAGGUAGGGAUACCCGCUGAACUUAAGCAUAUCAAUAAGCGGAGGAAAAGAAACCAACAGGGAUUGCCUCAGUAACGGCGAGUGAAGCGGCAACAGCUCAAAUUUGAAAUCUGGCUCUUUCAGGGUCCGAGUUGUAAUUUGUAGAAGAUGCUUUGGGUGUAGCUCCGGUCUAAGUUCCUUGAAACAGGACGUCAUAGAGGGUGAGAAUCCCGUAUGUGACUGGGUGCUUUCGCUCGUGUAAAGCUCUUUCGACGAGUCGAGUUGUUUGGGAAUGCAGCUCAAAAUGGGUGGUAAAUUUCAUCUAAAGCUAAAUAUUGGCCAGAGACCGAUAGCGCACAAGUAGAGUGAUCGAAAGAUGAAAAGCACUUUGGAAAGAGAGUUAAACAGUACGUGAAAUUGUUGAAAGGGAAGCGCUUGCAACCAGACUUGCGCGCUGUUGAUCAUCCGAGCUUCUGCCCGGUGCACUCGACAGCGUUCAGGCCAGCAUCGGUUUUGGUGGGCGGAUAAAGGCCUUGGGAAUGUAGCUUCUUUCGGGGAGUGUUAUAGCCCUCGGUGCAAUGCGCCCUACCGGGACCGAGGACCGCGCUUCGGCUAGGA